UGGGGCAUAUUCCACAAUGGGCGCAAGCCUGAUGCAGCCAUGCCGCGUGUAUGAAGAAGGCCUUCGGGUUGUAAAGUACUUUCAGCGGGGAUGAAGGGAGUAAAGUUAAUACCUUUGCUCAUUGACGUUACCCGCAGAAGAAGCACCGGCUACCUCCGUGCCAGCAGCCGCGGUAAUACGGAGGGUGCAAGCGUUAAUCGGAAUUACUGGGCGUAAAGCGCACGCAGGCGGUUUGUUAAGUCAGAUGUGAAAUCCCCGGGCUCAACCUGGGAACUGCAUCUGAUACUGGCAAGCUUGAGUCUCGUAGAGGGGGGUAGAAUUCCAGGUGUAGCGGUGAAAUGCGUAGAGAUCUGGAGGAAUACCGGUGGCGAAGGCGGCCCCCUGGACGAAGACUGACGCUCAGGUGCGAAAGCGUGGGGAGCAAACA
This 427-nucleotide ribosomal RNA is filed under the name uncultured bacterium. RNAcentral describes it as "partial 16S ribosomal RNA". It matches the Rfam family "Bacterial small subunit ribosomal RNA", at positions 355 to 774 of the family's 1533-position model. The record is from RNAcentral.